This 253-nucleotide ribosomal RNA is filed under the name uncultured bacterium. Its description in RNAcentral is "partial 16S ribosomal RNA". It matches the Rfam family "Bacterial small subunit ribosomal RNA", at positions 524 to 776 of the family's 1533-position model. The record is from RNAcentral.
GACGGAAGGUGCAAGCGUUGCUCGGAAUCACUGGGCGUAAAGGGUGCGUAGGCGGCCUCUUAAGUCUGGCGUGAAAGCCCAGGGCUCAGCCCUGGAAGUGCUCUAGAAACUGAGAGGCUAGAGUGCCGGAGGGGAGAGUGGAAUUCCCGGUGUAGCGGUGAAAUGCGUAGAUAUCGGGAGGAAUACCGGUGGCGAAAGCGACUCUCUGGACGGCAACUGACGCUGAGGCACGAAAGCGUGGGGAGCAAACAGG